AGUGAACGCUGGCGGUAGGCCUAACACAUGCAAGUCGAACGGCAGCACAGUAAGAGCUUGCUCUUACGGGUGGCGAGUGGCGGACGGGUGAGGAAUACAUCGGAAUCUACUUUUUCGUGGGGGAUAACGUAGGGAAACUUACGCUAAUACCGCAUACGACCUACGGGUGAAAGCAGGGGAUCUUCGGACCUUGCGCGAUUGAAUGAGCCGAUGUCGGAUUAGCUAGUUGGCGGGGUAAAGGCCCACCAAGGCGACGAUCCGUAGCUGGUCUGAGAGGAUGAUCAGCCACACUGGAACUGAGACACGGUCCAGACUCCUACGGGAGGCAGCAGUGGGGAAUAUUGGACAAUGGGCGCAAGCCUGAUCCAGCCACACCGCGUGGGUGAAGAAGGCCUUCGGGUUGUAAAGCCCUUUUGUUGGGAAAGAAAAGCAGCAGGUUAAUACCCCGCUGUUCCGACGGUACCCAAAGAAUAAGCACCGGCUAACUUCGUG
Molecule: ribosomal RNA, 492 nt
Filed under: uncultured bacterium
Lineage: Bacteria
Description: partial 16S ribosomal RNA
Rfam family: Bacterial small subunit ribosomal RNA
Source: RNAcentral